AGAAUUUUCAGCCGCGCGCAUCUGGAAACUACGCCCCUGCCAUGGAGCCCUCUUUUCACGCCAAGGCUUGACCUGCUCCUCCAACACGGCCCUGCUCCGACCACGCCGCCACCGUUGAGAAUCCACCCCAACUCGAGCAGUUCACCGGCGUCAUGGAGGAAGCACUGAGCUGCUGCAUUGGAAAUACGAGGAGCUUCAUCAAUGCAAGAAGUUGAGAUUCACUCAACGGCAAGAAAUAGUCUCAUGUUUUUCUUCCAAAUAGUAUGUACCAUUCCCCACUUUGAUACUUAUGAACACCCAUUUGAGAUAUCCUUUUCCUAGUUACAGUUCAUCCAGAUCACGAGUACGAUUUAUGGUUCAUGAUCCAACUAAAAGAGGUGGAAUAUCCUCUGCCCUUGACAUGUGCAAGCACACAAUUGGUUGUUCCUGCUGGAGAAGGUGCACAAUCUUGCCGAGUUGCACACAAUCAAUUAAAAUGGUUUUUUGGGAAGAAUUAAAUGAACAUCAUCAGUGUAACAUAGAGGUUAAAGCAGGUGGUUGAGGGUAUCCUUGAAGAGAAGCUUGCAACUUAAGCUGCAACAAAAGUGCAUAUUUAGUUGAUGCACUUGUGUGUUUUUAGAUGUUGCAACUCUGUUUUCAUUGACCUACGAUUCAUGUAUGUAAAUUCUAUGGAACUGUAUCCGAAGACUUGUGAAUUUGUAUCUCUGGUUGAUGGAAACAAUUGAUAGUGAUGUUUCUAUGUUUUAAA
Molecule: long non-coding RNA, 748 nt
Organism: Triticum urartu
Lineage: Eukaryota; Viridiplantae; Streptophyta; Magnoliopsida; Poales; Poaceae
Source: RefSeq, a predicted model, not a curated record